This 122-nucleotide ribosomal RNA is filed under the name Lottia gigantea (owl limpet). Lineage: Eukaryota; Metazoa; Mollusca; Gastropoda; Lottiidae. The record is from RNAcentral.
GUCUACGGCCAUACCACGUUGAAAGCACCAGUUCUCGUCCGAUCACUGAAGUUAAGCAGUGUCGGGCUCGGUUAGUACUUGGAUGGGUGACCGCCUGGAAAAACCGUAGAAUCCUUUUGAAG